GACGAACGCUGGCGGCGUGCUUAACACAUGCAAGUCGAGCGGAAAGGCCCUUCGGGGUACUCGAGCGGCGAACGGGUGAGUAACACGUGGGUAACCUGCCCUUCACUCUGGGAUAACUCCGGGAAACCGGGGCUAAUACCGGAUACGACCACUUUAGGCAUCUUCGGUGGUGGAAAGUUUUUCGGUUGGAGGAUGGACCCGCGGCCUAUCAGCUUGUUGGUGGGGUAAGUGGCCUACCAAGGCAGUGACGGGUAGCCGGCCUGAGAGGGCGACCGGCCACACUGGGACUGAGACACGGCCCAGACUCCUACGGGAGGCAGCAGUGGGGAAUAUUGCGCAAUGGGCGGAAGCCUGACGCAGCGACGCCGCGUGAGGGAUGACGGCCUU
RNAcentral lists this ribosomal RNA (387 nucleotides) under uncultured bacterium. RNAcentral's name for it is "bacterial SSU rRNA". It matches the Rfam family "Bacterial small subunit ribosomal RNA", at positions 28 to 418 of the family's 1533-position model. The record is from RNAcentral.